AGUGAUUCACCUGAUAUCCACUUUUGAUCUUUCAAUCAUCUUCAUGGCCUCAUUCAAGAACAAAGGAUCAUCUUCAUCCAUGCCAACUCAGCCACCGUCUCCUCCAACCCUACCUCCAAGACUGACUUCAAAACAAGUCAGUAAUUUUGCCAGAAAUAUGAUGUUCCAUUACCUCUCCGUCAUUCAACAAACUUUCAAGAUCCCAAU
RNAcentral lists this long non-coding RNA (207 nucleotides) under Ricinus communis (castor bean). RNAcentral describes it as "long non-coding RNA (RCOM_LNC003192)". Lineage: Eukaryota; Viridiplantae; Streptophyta; Magnoliopsida; Malpighiales; Euphorbiaceae. The record is from RNAcentral.